CCACGGAGGGGUUAAUCGGGGAUUGCCUUUUCAAAAAUGCAGGCCCCUGUUGGAAGAGUUUCCUGAAGAAUGUGUGAGCAUGAAAUGUUGGCAGCUUUUGAAAAGGUGGGAAGAAAUGCUUUGCUCCUGGAACAAAGUCUGGUGCAGAUGUCUGCUAGGCCCGCAGAGUGACCUGAGAUCACCUGGUUUAGAAUUGUUCUCUGGCUUCAGAUCAUAGGAUAGAGAGCUGGAAGUGAUCUUUAAGCUAUCCAGAAUUCAACUUCUCAUUGUACAGAUGAAGAACCUGAGAUCCAGAGAACUGAAAUGGCUUGUUCGGGGUCACACAGCAUCACCACUACUCUUGUCCUGAUACCCUUUGCUCCAGGGCAGGCCUACACAACAUACAGCCCAUGGAUUGCUUGCAGCCGGCCAAAGGAUUUCAGGUGGCCCACAAAAAUGUAGAGGAGAGGCAGCUGUAUUCACAUCUUGCUUCCAAUACAACACCGGUAGAAUGUUAAUGGUAAAAAGAUGGGUUUUUACUUUCCCGAGAAACUUGGGCUAAAUAAAAGAGUGCUGCAUUUUCUUGAAGGCAAUCCAACCCAGUCUUCUCUUCCUGUUCAACUGUAGGCCCAUUUCACUGUCUAUCAUCUAUCCCAGAUACUCAUACAGAUGGAGAAGUUCUGGAGAGCAUCCAUCCAAAUACAUGUUAGAAUCGGGAUGAUGAAAAUUCAGUAUUCACUUGAUCUUUCCUGUGUGAGUGGUCAGGCCAAGCUCCUUUGAGUGCUUAUAAAUCUCUUCCACGAUGCACAACAGUUUCCUGAGUCUUGAUGAAAUCAAAAUAAUGUCAUCCACAAAUAGGAGCAUUUAGAGAACCUCUCCAUUUAUAGGGAAUCCCUCUUUGACUAGUAUUUGGUUCUGGAUCUCCUCUCUCACCAUGAUGAAUCACUUUGCUAAGCAUGUCUCUCCCUGUUUCAUGUUGCAUCUGAUAAUUGUGAUCAGAGGGCCAUUAAACAGGGUUAUUCCUGUUGGUGUAUGUUCCAAAGAAUAUUGAAUGAUUUUGAUGCACGUGCGAAUCCAUGAGGUAAGUCUGGUAGAUUUUAUUUUUAUUUUCAUUUUAAAGAUGAAGAAACUCAGUCUAAGAGAAGCUAAGUGACUUGCUCAUUAUUGUGCAAUAAACGAGCUUCAGAGGAGGGAUUCAAACCUGGAUGUCACUUGAGUUCAGGGCCAGGACUCUUUCUACUGUGUCACAUGGCCUUUUUUGCAUAUGACAAAUGUUAUGUUUUCACUCUCAUACUGGAUCUAAACACGAAGUGAAUAAGUGUAUUUUUGUUGCUCACUCAUUUCAGUUGUGUUGGACUAUUUGAUCAGAAGCAAGUAAGAGAAGUAGAAGAAAAACUGA
Vombatus ursinus (common wombat) is the source of this 1378-nucleotide long non-coding RNA. RefSeq lists it as uncharacterized. The transcript has 4 exons. NCBI's taxonomy places the organism in Eukaryota, Metazoa, Chordata, Mammalia, Diprotodontia, Vombatidae. The record is from RefSeq and is a predicted model, not a curated record.